RNAcentral lists this ribosomal RNA (492 nucleotides) under uncultured bacterium. Its description in RNAcentral is "partial 16S ribosomal RNA". It matches the Rfam family "Bacterial small subunit ribosomal RNA", at positions 29 to 507 of the family's 1533-position model. The record is from RNAcentral.
AGUGAACGCUGGCGGUAGGCCUAACACAUGCAAGUCGAACGGCAGCACAGUAAGAGCUUGCUCUUACGGGUGGCGAGUGGCGGACGGGUGAGGAAUACAUCGGAAUCUACUUUUUCGUGGGGGAUAACGUAGGGAAACUUACGCUAAUACCGCAUACGACCUACGGGUGAAAGCAGGGGAUCUUCGGACCUUGCGCGAUUGAAUGAGCCGAUGUCGGAUUAGCUAGUUGGCGGGGUAAAGGCCCACCAAGGCGACGAUCCGUAGCUGGUCUGAGAGGAUGAUCAGCCACACUGGAACUGAGACACGGUCCAGACACCUACGGGAGGCAGCAGUGGGGAAUAUUGGACAAUGGGCGCGAGCCUGAUCCAGCCAUACCGCGUGGGUGAAGAAGGCCUUCGGGUUGUAAAGCCCUUUUGUUGGGAAAGAAAAGCAGCAGGUUAAUACCCCGCUGUUCUGACGGUACCCAAAGAAUAAGCACCGGCUAACUUCGUG